This is a long non-coding RNA of Erigeron canadensis, 1157 nucleotides long. RefSeq lists it as uncharacterized. The record is from RefSeq and is a predicted model, not a curated record. The transcript has 2 exons. Lineage: Eukaryota; Viridiplantae; Streptophyta; Magnoliopsida; Asterales; Asteraceae.
UUUAUAUGCAUCGGUUAUUUUGUAAAUUAUCUAUAUCUAUAUCUAUAAAUAAGGGUAUUGGAUUAAGAAUUAAGCACUUUUUCGUUCUCAUAAUACCCUCCUUACUUUGCAUUAUAUUUUACACCUCCUCCUCAAAACUACCAAAAUUACCCAUAGGAAAAAUUAAAACCCACAAAAAAGACAAUCACCCGAUCUAAAUCAGUUCUCAUUCUCCCGGACUCCCGGUCGCAACUGACGCAACCCCUCCCUCUCGCCGGAUUAUCUCCCCCAACCACCACCGCCGGAUUCAUCACCAUCAUCAACUAAAUCACAACCCCUCUUUCUCUUGCCGGAUUCAUCGCCACCAACCACCGUCGCUGGAUUCUUUCCGCUGCAGCCAUCAACUUUAUUUUGUGACAAGGGUUUUUCUUUAUUUGAUCUUAUUAUUUUGUUUAAUAUACCGUCGCCAUUUACUAUCUAGAUUAAUAAGCAUCUAGAUUAAUUUUCUUCUUAUCUUUUGAUGUAUUUUGUUUUUUCCUUUUGCAGAUUUGUGAUAGAGUUGGGUUUUUUAUUUAAUGGGUUGAUUUUCAAUUCAUCACCAUCAACAACAAAAUCACAACCCCUCUCUCUCGCCGGAUUCAUCACCACCAACCGCCGCCGCCGGAUUCAUCACCACCAACCGCCGCCGCCGGAUUUAUCACCAUCAACAAAGGUUUCUGGAGGUGGAGGAACUUCCAAAUAAAAUGUUGCUCGAUCUGUGCGGGAGUGGGACUGUUGAAACGGGAGCUUUUUAAAACACAAUGCUUCCUAAUGGUAUAUGCUUUAAUCUUACUUUUUUUCAAUAGGACAUCACCCUUAUCUACUGGAAUCUGUUUCAUUCUUUUCCGGUCUAAAGAAUUUCAGUUUGAGGUUAAAGGGUGUACCAUGGAAAGAAGUUUAAUUUUAAAUGUGUUACUUUAUGUAAAAAACCUGAGCUUGGAAAGUAGAACCGAUAGAUAAAAGUGAAUCAAUUUUGUGUAUAGCUUGGAUGAUCAUGUAAAAAACAUGAGUGAGAUAUUGAGAGUUCCAGAUACUUAUUUUAGUUGCUUAAUUAGCAUUGAAUUGUAACUUAUGAUUCAUUUCGGUUCUACUUUCCAAGCCAAAUUCAUUUUUAUCUUAUUUUAGUUGUUUCAUUAGCA